GUUAUCCCUCUCAUACUG
This 18-nucleotide small nuclear RNA is filed under the name Arabidopsis thaliana (thale cress). RNAcentral's name for it is "snRNA_07934". Lineage: Eukaryota; Viridiplantae; Streptophyta; Magnoliopsida; Brassicales; Brassicaceae. The record is from RNAcentral.